UCACGCCGCGUGAGUGAAGAAGGUUUCGGAUCGUAAAACUCUGUUGUUAGGGAAGAACAAUGCCAUAGUAACUGAUGGCACCUUGACGGUACCUAACCAGAAAGCCACGGCUAACUACGUGCCAGCAGCCGCGGUAAUACGUAGGUGGCAAGCGUUGUCCGGAAUUAUUGGGCGUAAAGCGCUCGCAGGCGGUUCUUUAAGUCUGAUGUGAAAUCUUACGGCUCAACCGUAAACGUGCAUUGGAAACUGGGGAACUUGAGUGCAGAAGAGGAGAGUGGAAUUCCACGUGUAGCGGUGAAAUGCGUAGAGAUGUGGAGGAACACCAGUGGCGAAGGCGACUCUCUGGUCUGUAACUGACGCUGAGGAGCGAAAGCGUGGGGAGCGAACAGGAUUAGAUACCCUGGUAGUCCACGCCGUAAACGAUGAGUGCUAGGUGUUAGGGGGUUUCCGCCCCUUAGUGCUGAAGUUAACGCAUUAAGCACUCCGCCUGGGGAGUACGGCCGCAAGGCUGAAACUCAAAAGAAUUGACGGGGGCCCGCACAAGCGGUGGAGCAUGUGGUUUAAUUCGAAGCAACGCGAAGAAACUUACCAGGUCUUGACAUCCUCUGAACACUCUAGAGAUAGA
Molecule: ribosomal RNA, 625 nt
Filed under: uncultured bacterium
Lineage: Bacteria
Description: bacterial SSU rRNA
Rfam family: Bacterial small subunit ribosomal RNA
Source: RNAcentral